Molecule: ribosomal RNA, 407 nt
Filed under: uncultured bacterium
Lineage: Bacteria
Description: partial 16S ribosomal RNA
Rfam family: Bacterial small subunit ribosomal RNA
Source: RNAcentral
AUUGAACGCUAGCGGGAUGCUUUACACAUGCAAGUCGAACGAGUGGCGGACGGGUGAGUAAUACGUGGGUAACCUGCCCUCCUUUUUGGGAUAAGCCUUGGAAACGGGGUCUAAUACCGAAUAAAGGGGGAUGGGCUCGCGGCCUAUCAGCUUGUUGGUGGGGUGAUGGCCUACCAAGGCGGUGACGGGUAGCCGGCCUGAGAGGGUGACCGGCAACAUUGGGACUGAGAUACGGCCCAGACGCCUACGGGAGGCAGCAGUGGGGGAUAUUGCACAAUGGGCGAAAGCCUGAUGCAGCGACGCCGCGUGGGGGAUGAAGGCCUUCGGGUUGUAAAGUACUUUUGGCAGAGAAGCGGUAUCUGCAGAAUAAGCACCGGCUAACUACGUGCCAGCAGCCGCGGUAAUAC